CUUCAUUUCCAGUUGAAGCGACUGUUUAGGUCUAUUCCUCAAACCGAUACCCAAUAAAGACGACGAGAGAGGGAAGCCAUAGCCCAUAGCUCAAAUUCAACACUAAACAGCAUCCAUCAAGAACAAACAGAAAGAACAGUCAUCCCUGCAGCUACGGAGGAAUGUAUUACUUUUGCUGAUUCAAUAUCAAUCUAAUUUAUUAUCUAUAAGAGCCUGAUCGCUUGGAUAAGCACUGGUUAAAGGGUGAGCUUGUUGUGAGUUUCACUUAGUGCCACUCCAGGCUAGUAUGAUACAUAAUUAGAUGUGCAGCUUCAAGUGCUUUUUAUGAGUCCUGAUCUUCGGCAUCAAAUGCCUCAAUCAGUGUGUAAGAAGUCUAAAUGCUGUAGUAACAGUAUACGUUGAAUUAAAUGGUUUGUCAACUCUCA
This is a long non-coding RNA of Ricinus communis (castor bean), 425 nucleotides long. RefSeq lists it as uncharacterized. Lineage: Eukaryota; Viridiplantae; Streptophyta; Magnoliopsida; Malpighiales; Euphorbiaceae. The transcript has 2 exons. The record is from RefSeq and is a predicted model, not a curated record.